Molecule: ribosomal RNA, 485 nt
Filed under: uncultured bacterium
Lineage: Bacteria
Description: bacterial SSU rRNA
Rfam family: Bacterial small subunit ribosomal RNA
Source: RNAcentral
UGAACGCUAGCGACAGGCUUAACACAUGCAAGGUCAGGGGUAACAGGGUAGCAAUACCGCUGACGACCGGCGCACGGGUGAGUAACGCGUAUGCAACCUGCCUAUAACUGGGGAAUAGCUCCCUGAAAAGGGGAAUUAACACCGCAUAACACUAUUGAUUCGCAUGGAUUAGUAGUUAAAUGUAGCGAUACAGGUUAUAGAUGGGCAUGCGUGACAUUAGCUAGUUGGUGAGGUAACGGCUCACCAAGGCUACGAUGUCUAGGGGUUCUGAGAGGAAGGUCCCCCACACUGGUACUGAGACACGGACCAGACUCCUACGGGAGGCAGCAGUGAGGAAUAUUGGUCAAUGGGCGCAAGCCUGAACCAGCCAUGUCGCGUGCAGGAAGACUGCCCUAUGGGUUGUAAACUGCUUUUAUAGUAGAAGAAACACAUCUACGUGUAGAUGUCUGCCAGUAUACUAUGAAUAAGCAUCGGCUAAUUCCGUG